Long non-coding RNA from Callithrix jacchus (white-tufted-ear marmoset), 2365 nucleotides. RefSeq annotates it as cytochrome c oxidase subunit 6C. Lineage: Eukaryota; Metazoa; Chordata; Mammalia; Primates; Cebidae. The record is from RefSeq and is a predicted model, not a curated record.
UGAACAGGUCUUUAUUAUCAACAAAUAGAUGUUCCGUAUUUUCUCACAACAUAAAAUAUGCCAAAUAGGCAGCUGGUACCCACUUACCACUGAUCACACACAAACUAAAAAGUAUUAUCCAGGAGGGAGCCACGGGGUCAGGGUCAGUUAUCUUAAAGAAUUGUUUUAACCGGUGUAUGAUAUUUACAUAUUGUUCUGCCACUUUGGAAUGCCCCAAGUAGUUUUCUACUUGGGGUGGGGGGCACUGCUAGGUUUUCCUUGCCAUCAUUCUUCCUAGCAAACAAUAUAUUCUAUCAUAUACUCAGCAUUUCUCAAUAUUCAUAAACUUAACAUUUCUAAACCACUUAACAGUUCUCAACAACUACCUAAUUUGCUUCAAGGUCCAUUUCAUUCCUUUUAGCUCUUGGCAUUGUAAUUUGCUAAUUUGCCUUUCCAGGUGUCAUAUACUUUUCACGUGAAAGGCUGCAGCAUCUGCGAGAGGUCAGCUCACCUAAAAAGCAUGUUCAGAGCAGGAUAGUGAUGGAGGAGCCAGGACAUUUCCUGGUGUACUGUGGUAGGCAGCCUAUGCAAACCUACCCCCAAAAGUCUAAGAAAUUUGCCAGCUAGAAGUUGAUGAGCUGGGUCUCAAAUUCAGGUCUGUUCAGUUCUAGAACAGAAUCUAUAUGUAGAGUGUCUCUCUUCACCCUUAUUCAGGUUUUAUUCAUAUGCCACCCUCAGUCAUUCACCAUGAAUUCACUGGACAGCUAGGGAAGCACAGAACAAGCACUCAGUAUUUCACUCAGGGCAGGCUCUGAGUGUGUCUGUUUUUGCCAUGUUCUUCCAGCCCAUGUUGCCUCUUCAGUUUUCCAGUUUUCCAGCCUUUCCAUUAGACUGAAACUCAGCUCUGCUUCCUUCUUGUCAUAUCUUGUCUGAAGUUUUCCCUGAUGGUUUCACAUACACUAAUCCCUGUGAACCUUGAAGUUCACCACUUCUUUGGGCCAAUGGUGGGGUGGGGAUGGAAAGAGAGUAGAAACAAAUUACUCUGUGGACAAAUUCCAUGCAAAGAUUUUCAGCUGGGUGGAUCUUUGAUACGAGAUCUGAAAAACUGUUGGUAAAGCCCAAACCUGCUUCUGAGCCUCAAUUAGCACCUUUCUGUGUGGCUGAAAGGUUUCACUCUCCAGUGUGAAACCAGAAGUGUUUAUUAACAAGUUCAGGACAAAGACCCGCUGACAAGAAUGAGCCUCCCUGGAGAUCUGUCCUCUUGUUUAGCAGAACCUGGCAUGUAGUAGGUACUCAAUCUAUAUAUUGAGUCAGUAUCAUGCAUCUGUUGUGUCCCAGAUAUCUUCCACAGGGCUUGAUGGGUUGACUUAAUACUUUUCAAAUUCAGGUUAAUUCAAUAAAAACAGCCCAGCAUCAUUAAGGCACAAGAGCCUCGCCCUUUUACACACUUUCCACGAACUUUUGGUUGCCUUCCUUCAAAACACUUGUUAAGAACCCCACACAAAUACCGCCCCUCCAUCAAAACAUCCUCAGCUUUGCCAGGUAGAGAAUUGCUUCUGCAGGAGCUGGGUCACGUCUCUGCGGUAGUGCCCAUCGCAUGGGAUCGGUAUUAAUCUGUCUGUCUCAUCUUCUGGGUUCUGAGCUCCUAGAAGUCAAGCCAAACGGUUGUUCGCAUAAGGUUAGUUAUAAUUAAAAUGUCGGUUCCUGCACAUGGUUUGGGACUCUGUGUAUGAGUACGAUUAAUAUCUUCAAUUUAUUAAGAAGAUAAGGAGGUCGAUAAAUAAAGAGGUCGAGCCCGUUUUGCAAGGUCACACAGGAGGAAACGGACCACGAAAAUGAACGUACGCUGUCACCUGCGGUGAGCGCGCUAGAGGUCUUUUGACCUCCUUUGGCUACCGUCGCCGGCUUCCCGUGCGCACUUUUUCUGCGCCUGCGCGCGGUGGAGAGCCGUCCAUUUUUCCAUCCGUCUGGAAGGACGUUGGUGUUGAGGUUGGAGUACGUAUCAAGGACAGUAACUACCAUGGCUUCUGAAGUUUUGGCAAAACCUCAGAUGCGUGGCCUUCUGGCCAGGCGUCUGCGAAUUCAUAUGGUUGGAGCAUUCCUGGUAUCCCUGGGGGUUGCAGCUCUCUAUAAGUUUGCUGUGGCUGAACCAAGAAAGAAGGCAUAUGCAGAUUUCUACAAAAAUUACAGUCCUGAGAAAGAUUUUGAGGAGAUGAAGAAGGCUGGUAUCUUUCGUAGUAUAAAGUGAUCUUGGAAUAGAAAGAAUUUCUUCAGGUUGAAUUACCUAGAAGUUUGUCACUGACUCGGGUUCCUGAACUAUGACACAUGAAUAUGUGGGCUAAGAAUUAGUUUCUCUUGAUAAAUAAAAGUUAACAAAUACAUUGGA